AGUUCUAACCGAACUUAACUGGAAAGUUAGUCCGUAGAAGGUAAUAGACCUGUAGGUGAAAGAAUAAACCGUAAGAUCUGAUCCAGAGUACCACGAGACACGUGAAACCUUGUGGGAAGCAGGGAGGACCACCUCCCAAGGCUAAAUACUAACUGGUGACCGAUAGUGAAGCAGUACCGUGAGGGAAAGGUGAAAAGAACCCCGGGAGGGGAGUGAAAUAGAAUCUGAAACCGUGUGCCUACAAACAGUCGAAGCACAUUAAUGUGUAACGGCGUGCUUUUUGUAGAACGAGCCAGCGAGUUACGGUAUGUAGCAAGGUUAAGUACUUUAGGUACGGAGCCGAAGGGAAACCAAGUCUGAAUAGGGCGACUAGUUGCAUACUGUAGACCCGAAACCGGGUGACCUAUCCAUGGACAGAGUGAAGCGAAAGUAAAAUUUCGUGGAGGCUCGAACCACGUUGGUGUUGAAAAACCAUGGGAUGAGCUGUGGAUAGCGGAGAAAUUCCAAUCGAACUCGGAGAUAGCUGGUUCUCCUCGAAAUAGCUUUAGGGCUAGCGUCGAGUAAUUGAGUAAUGGAGGUAGAGCACUGAAUGGGCUAGGGGCUGACAACAGUUACCGAACCCUAUCAAACUCCGAAUGCCAUAUACUUUUAUCUCGGCAGUCAGACUGCGAAUGAUAAGAUCCGUAGUCAAAAGGGAAACAGCCCAGAUCAUCAGCUAAGGUCCCUAAGUGUAAGUUAAGUGGUAAAGGAUGUGGGAUUUCUAAGACAACUAGGAUGUUGGCUUAGAAGCAGCCACUCAUUUAAAGAGUGCGUAAUAGCUCACUAGUCAAGAGAUCCUGCGCCGAAGAUGUCCGGGGCUAAAACUUACCACCGAAGCUAUGGACUCGAAAGAGUGGUAGAGGAGCUUCCUGUAUAGGUUGAAGUCAUACUGUAAGGAAUGGUGGACUGUACAGGAGUGAGUAUGCUGGCAUAAGUAGCGAGAAAUAAGUGAGAAUCUUAUUGGUCGAAAACCUAAGGUUUCCUGAGGAAGGUUCGUCCACUCAGGGUUAGUCGGGACCUAAGCCGAGG
RNAcentral lists this non-coding RNA (1068 nucleotides) under Clostridium acetireducens DSM 10703. RNAcentral describes it as "Bacterial large subunit ribosomal RNA". It matches the Rfam family "Bacterial large subunit ribosomal RNA", at positions 325 to 1401 of the family's 2925-position model. The record is from Rfam by way of RNAcentral. Lineage: Bacteria; Bacillati; Bacillota; Clostridia; Eubacteriales; Clostridiaceae.